Ictalurus punctatus (channel catfish) is the source of this 1231-nucleotide long non-coding RNA. The record is from Ensembl. Lineage: Eukaryota; Metazoa; Chordata; Actinopteri; Siluriformes; Ictaluridae.
AGAGUAGAGUAUGCUCUCUGAAAGGAGGAGUUUAGACUGAAUCCUUUAGAACGGAUAAUUUAAUGAGUCGUUUUUGACGCUGGGGAAAAAAGGGUUAUAAUCCUGAGGUCUGGCUAAACUUCAACCAUCAACUGGGGGAAACAUCCAAACAGGAGAAUGGAGAACAUUUCUUCUUACGACUGUAAAUAUAUAUUUCUCUUCUUCUUUGUCUUCAGUGUGCACACUGUUUACAGACUUUAUUUAUAGAAACAGAAAGGGAAUGAAGAACCAAAACCAGCACUAAUCGUGAUAAAAGAAAUAAGGGUACAAAAUAAAACUUAAAGAGUCAUUUAAAUGCUUUAUGAAUAUCAUAAAAGAUCAAUAAAUAAAGAUCCAACCAAGCCAGAUAUACACGCCUUUUUAUUAUAAUAUGUCUGGGGUUGGAAGCUGUGUUUUAUUUCAUCACAUUCUUGAGGAGGUUUGGCAAUUUAGAUUAGUUCUCUGGUGGAACGUUAAGGUUAUAGGUUAGGAACUAAGUUUCAGGGUUUGGGUUUAAGGUUAGGGUACAAUGUUCAGGACCAAGGGUUAGUAUAAAAGGGAGGGUGAAAAUUAUGAAUUUGCGUUAAGUGUACUUCACUGUCUGAACUGUGGAUUCAUGGUUGGGUCAGCAGAUCAGCGGAUGGUUAAAAAAAGGACAAAACAUUCCACUCAUAUGUUUUAUCUCACACAAAAAUAGGGGGAGUUUUACAUGCUCCUAGGCUAGUCCCAAAGGUCCUGCAAACCAUGAAUGCAAAGUCAGUACAAGGGUAGCUUUUAAGAAAUAAAUAAAUAAAAGAAUCCAUAAAUAUUAAGAGUAAUAAAAUGACCAGUUAGAUAAAUAAAUAAAUCCAUAAAAAUUAGGGAUUAGAUUGCCAUUAAAAAUAUUUUAUUUUGUCUCUUUCCCUCCAAACCCCUCUUUAAUAAUAAAAUAUUUUUUUUAAUUAGAAGAAACCACUAAACAAACGAGCAAUGCCCAACCCCUGUCAAAUAUGUUUGUUGUAGCCGAUGUUCCAUUUAUAGUCCAAUAUUUUAGAGCUAGGCUGUUGUUAAUAAACCAAGAUUGUUUUUUUUUAAAAUUAAUUUUAGCACAUACAGUGCAUCCAGAAAGUAUUCACAAUGCUUCAAUUUUUCCACAUUUUGUUGUUACAGUCUUAUUCCAAAAUGGAUUAAAUUCAUUAUUUUCCUCAAAAUUCUACAAACAAUACCCCAUAAU